Molecule: non-coding RNA, 3637 nt
Organism: Danio rerio (zebrafish)
Lineage: Eukaryota; Metazoa; Chordata; Actinopteri; Cypriniformes; Danionidae
Source: RefSeq, a predicted model, not a curated record
GAUCUAUUACGCCAUGUGAUAUUGAAAGAAAGCUGGAGAAAGUCCAGACAUUGAGACAGACAAGGAGAGUGUUUGAGAGACGUGAGCAGCAAGAGCAAAUGUCACCAAAUGGAGGGGAGCCUGGUCGCAUUACGCAGCCAUCAGGAUUCAGGUGUCAGAGCCACCCGUUUAUUGACAGCCGAUAUGGUAUGAUGAACCUUCUGGUGGCUGUGUAUGGGAGGGGGUUGAAAAGCAAAUCAGAGAGACUGAUGUGGGAGAUGACAAAUCCAGACGGUGGAGAAGUACUACAUGAGAAAGUGGAAGUACUCAGAGUGAAGAAUAACAGGCCAAACCGUGAGUGAGACUACUGGCUGGACAGAUGGAGUUUCAUCCACAAACAGCAGCCCAUGUGCAGUGUUUACCUGUGUAGAAGACCCAAGGAGACCCACACCUAUUCUACCAGACUAAAGCCGGUUGUCACAGCGACGUCAAACAGAAAGAGAACACCUGCUGCGGCGAUCAUGUUAUGUCAGACACAUGGACACUACAGCAGAAUGACUGAAGACCAGCAGCUUAUAUAUAUCAUCUCAUACAAAUAACGCACUUACCUGAAACAGCCAUUUAGGAUACACAUCCACGAGGAGUAUAUUGCACAAAGGCAAAGACAAAAGCUAAGAUCUUUGUGCAGUAUGCCAGAAAAAGUCUACAGGUUUCAAGGUCAGUGUUAUCAUAAGCUGAAAAGAUCAUGUCUGAGGCGAGGGGCUCUGUUCCAAGAUCCACUCUUUCCUCCUUCAGCCGAGUCGCUCUUCUACAGAAGGACGCCCCCUCCAGGACUGACAUGGAAGAGACCCAGCGAACUGUGUAAAGACCCUCGACUCUUUGUGGAUGGAAUCAGUACAAGGGAUCUGCACCAGGGCAGUCUGGGUAACUGCUGGAUGGUGGCAGCCACAUCGUGUUUGGCUGCAGAAUCCUCGCUCUGGAAGAAGGUGAUCCCAGACCACACUGAACAGGAGUGGCACCCAAAGCGGCCAGAUCUAUAUGCAGGAAUAUUUCACUUUCGUUUCUGGCGACUGGGCCAGUGGACAGAUGUUGUAGUAGAUGAUCGCUUGCCGGUCAGCGGGGAUGGGACGCUGCUCUUCUGUCGGUCUGCAACGCCACGAGAAUUCUGGAGCGCUUUGCUAGAGAAAGCCUAUGCCAAGCUAAAUGGGUGUUAUGAGGCUCUCGAGGGAGGUAAUACAGCAGAAGCUCUAGUUGAUUUUACUGGUGGCGUCUCUGAACCAUUGAGUCUGAAUCAGGAAGAGCUGAUCCAGCACUCUGACCACAGAAAAAUACUGUUCCAGACACUAGCCCAUGCACACAGCCAUAAAGCACUCAUCACCUGCUCAAUUCGGCCUGCAGAAGGGGAGGCUUUAGAAUCAGUUUUGGACUGUGGACUAAUAAAAGGUCAUGCAUAUGGUGUGACUGCUGUCAAAAAACUCCGUAUGUCAGAGACUCUGCAUAGCAUGUGUAAUGCAUCUCGUCUGUACAUGGUGCGAAUAAGGAACCCUUGGGGCACAACAGACUGGACAGGAGCUUGGGGUCUAGGAUCGCCUGAGUGGCAGCAAUUUAACCGUAAAGAAAAAGAGAAGAUGGGCCUUAUUGUCCGGGACGUUGGAGAGUUUUGGAUGGAGUUUGAGGACUUCUGUCGUUACUUUACAGACAUGGUGGUUUGCAGAUUGGCAGAAAAAUCCCUCCUCUGGCCACAAAGCCAUUGGAGAGAAGUAUGCUGCCAUGGAGCCUGGACCUUUACUUCUGGGAUCCCAACUUUUCCCUCAUCUUCUUAUUGCCUGAACAUCAAGAACCAGAGGCCUCCAUCUGGGCUUCAAUGGUCAAAACAAAGGCCAGCUCAAAGACGAGACAAAAAAGAGCAAAGACUCAAUGAAAGACAGAGAGAGGGACGAAUCCAGGGAGAAAAACUGACCAAAAUAGAUAAUGCAGAAAUAAAACCAAAGCAAAUUAGGGAUAGAAAAGAGUGUGUAAAAAAACUGGAAGGAGGCAUGGAGAUGAGAUGGGAGAUGCAAAUUGACAGAAGAACUCGAUGUGGAGGAUGUAUCAAUCAUAGAGACACAUUUCUACACAACCCCCAGUUCCUUUUUGAGCUGUUUGGAGGUGGAGAAGAGGUUUUGAUUUGUCUUCAACAGGAAGACAGGAGGAUGAAACGGAGGGAGGGAAGCGGAGAGAACCUACCAAUUGGCUUUGAAGUGUUAAGGGUGGAGGUGAACCGUGUGUGUCGAGUACAGUGUUUAUGUGAACAGACUGCUAGUUCUGUAUAUAUGGAUUCACGCAGUGUCACACUACGAGUGACUCUUGGUCCUGGUCGUUAUGUUAUCCUCCCUACCACUUUCCAGCCUGGUGCUACUGGGCGGUUCCUUCUGCGUUUUUUCUCACACUCACAUGUGCGCCUCAGGGAAUUGAAGGAAGAGCUUCCUGCUCCUUCAAUGUGGCGGUGUUGUAUACCUGACCCUAGUGCCGUAACUACUGUCCAUCUACUCAAAGCUUCUGGUCUUAGCCAUCACAAAAAAACAGCUCCUGAUGUAUAUGCAAUCAUUCGGUGUGAGGAAGACUCUGUUAGGACUAGAGUGUUCAAGAAAGAUGAAAGCCCUGAAUUCAACACUAAAGCGAUUUUUUACAGCAGGAAGCUGAAGUCAAAAAUCUCCAUUGAGCUGUGGAGAAGAGGAUUGCUGCUGGACACAUUCCUGGGAGGAGCACGUCUUCAGACGGGAGGAAGCGAACGAGGACAAAACAGAGUGAUUGACUUGCAGGGUGGCCAAUCACGUGGCUCUGUUUUUGUAGAGAUCUCCUCCAGUCACUGCCUCACAGACCUGUGACUGACAGGCACCAUGGAUCCAAAGCAAAUGUUCAAUUACGUGAAAUCUCCUCCAAUAACUAGUAUAGCAUGUCUCGUGAUCACAAAACUCCUAUUCCUGGCUCUUCCCAUUGCCCAAAUUGCCAUAGGCGCAGUGUAUCUCCAAGAAUGUCCCCAGCAGAGUUAUAUCCCAGUGUAUGUGCUGGUCACUGGAGUGUUCAGUGUGUUUCUGGCAUUGUUGACAUGUCUGCCCUGUUCUAAAGAGCCAGAGGAGGGAGGCAACAAAGCUUUCGGCAUGGCCUGCAAUGUGUGGAAUGCUCUGGUUUCUACUUUCCUGGUUUGCUGGGUGAUCACUGGCAGUGUGUGGAUUUACUCUAUUUACCCUCCUAAUUACAACACAACUGUGGCUGGAGUUCCCUACUGCGAUAAGACCCUCUACUUGUUUGCAUUCUGGACCACCACCCUGGGCUACAUUCUGAUAGGUUUAGCACUGUUAAUCGGCUGCUGCUUUUGUGUAUGCACUUGCAUUUGUGGCUUAGCCAAAGCUUAAUUAAAUGUGUGGGCCAUUGUAAUGGAUAUAAAUUGCAGAGCUCUUGUUGGUUGGUAAACUAAACUGAACUUGAAUAUGUUUACAACUAUUAUUUAACAGUUAAAAGUCAUUUGGAAGUACUUGGUAUCAUUUUGAGGAUUGAAAUGUAAGACAACUGACGUUAUUAUAUAUUUUUUUGUUUACAAUGAAUGUCAAUUUUGUUUUACUAUUUAAGAUUGUUGAAAGAUUAAUGGAAACUGAAUAAAUGACAUUUUCAUGACUCA